UGGCUAUGAAGAAAAAAAGGCCGGACUUACAGCUGCUAACCUUAUUUAAAGGUUUUGGUAGUAGAUUGAUGACAAGUUCUAAAAGGUUUUUUCUGAGCCUA
Molecule: small nucleolar RNA, 101 nt
Organism: Erigeron canadensis
Lineage: Eukaryota; Viridiplantae; Streptophyta; Magnoliopsida; Asterales; Asteraceae
Product: small nucleolar RNA snoR113
Exons: 1
Source: RefSeq, a predicted model, not a curated record